Molecule: non-coding RNA, 381 nt
Organism: Nicotiana tabacum (common tobacco)
Lineage: Eukaryota; Viridiplantae; Streptophyta; Magnoliopsida; Solanales; Solanaceae
Source: RefSeq, a predicted model, not a curated record
UUAAACUGAAGUUGACAUCUUUUUUUCUUCAGAUUGAUGCUGCAAAGCCUGUUGGAGAAGUAUUUGAAGCAGUUAAAGCUGUUUUUGCCCCAGCUGUUGAGAAGGUUGCUGCCUAGGAAAAUAUUGGUAGAGCGGCAUCAUGAUUAAGUGUUACUGGUAUACCAGUAUUGUUUGCAUUUUGGUGCUUGCUAUGCGUCUUCAGCAAGGCGAUGUAUCUUUAUAGAUUCUACUUUUAUAGAAGUUUAUGGCAAAAAUUCCUUUUUCUUUCUUCCUAUUUUUUGUUCUUAUGAAGGGAACAAAUGCUGUAUUAUUGGCAUAUUGCCUUUGUAUUAUCAUUGUCGAGACUGAAUUUUUAUAAAUAAGAUUAUGAGUUUCUCUCUC